UGUCUGUCCGUCUCUCUCUCUCUCUGUCUCUGUGUGUGUGUCUCUGUCUCUGUCUCUCUGUAUCUCUCUGUCUCUCUCUCUCUGUGUCUCUCUCAGUCUCUCUGUGUCUCUCUCUGUCUCUCUCUGUCUCUGUCUCUGUCUCUCUGUUUCUCUCUGUGUCUCUCCCUUUCUGUCUAUCUCUCUGUCUCUGUCUCUGUCUCUCUAUUUCUCAGUCUCUCUCUUUCUCUGUCUCUGACUCUCUCUCUCUGUAUGUAUAAAUAGAUAAACAGAGUAAAUGCACAGCACAGCCCUAUACCCUCUAUACAUCACAACAAAUAUGCAGAGAAAGAGAUGGGGAGAGACAGAGAGAGGGGGAGACAGAGGGCGAACCUCCAAGGGACUUUGGGGAGACGUGUUCUCCCAAGUGAGAGGACAAGAGAGAGCCUCCUCUAGGAGAUGGUGCUGGGGCUGAGCCCUGAAGGAAAAAACAAGCAUUUGGGGAUUUAAAUCUAUUUAUUUAAUUAUUAAAUUUAAUUUAUUUAUUUAAUUUAUUAUUUUAAUUUAAUUAUUAAAUUUAAUUAUUAAAUCUCAGUCAUUCUAGUUUAUAUUAUACCCAAUCAUUCGGCAUGUUAUUUAUUAUUUAUAUUUAUUUUUAUAAAAAUGGAAUGUAUUUCUUUGUUGCUACUACAACAGCUUCUCCUCCUCCAAGAGGCAGAGAUGAAGCGGCAGAGAAUUUCAGCUGGGGGUGGGGGGAGCUCAAAAGCCAGGCUUGUACACAGGAACAAAGCUCCAGAACAGCUACCAGGGGUCCUCAAACUACGGCCCGCGGGCCAGAUGCGGCAGCUGAGGACAUUUAUCCCCCUCCCCCAGGGCUAGGAAGUUUCUUUAUUUAAAGGCCCACAAAACAAAGGUUUUGUUUUUACUCUAGUCCGACCCUCCAACAGUCUGAGGGACGGUGAGCUGGCCCCCUAUUUAAAAAGUCUGAGGACCCCCGAGUCAUUGCUCUGUCUGAGGGAUGGCAAGAAGACUUCCAUAUCUGAUCUCCUUUGACUCUCACAAGGACGCCCAUAAGGCGUGAUUAUUCCCGGUCACAGGUGGAGAUAAAGUGAGUCUCACGUUAAGACUUGCAACGGAUUAUACAAUUAGCAAAUGUCAAGAUUUGAAUUCAGCUCCCUACUCAACUCCAAGUCCUUUCCCCCACAGAGACUUGUCCGAGGUUAGCCCACAAGUCUAGUCGUGACCUUGUGUGAUCUUCCCCACCACCCAACGGGAGGAUCCUUAGAAAAUCUAAUGCCAAAAUUGGAAGAGGACUCAGAACAUAGAAUAUGGAGGGGAACAGACUUCGGUCCUAAAACAUAGACUAUAAGCAUGGGAGAGAGCUUAGAACUUAAAACGCCAAGAGCCAGGUUAUAUCGUAGACCAACGAAUCCCUAAAUCGAACAAUAACAAAAAGAUGUGGGCCUGGGGAUGUGGGGCGGGUUUUUGGACCGUGGCAGAAAUUCGGAGAAUCAAAGCAGGAGUAGGACCACUGCCCAGUAGAGAAAAGGCAGAAUAGUGUAGAUUCUUUUUUCUUUCUAUUUUUUCCAACAAGGAAGAUGAACUUUGACCUGGAAAGAGGAGGGAGCUGGUACCCAAGGUAAGAAGAGAUUCAUUUUGAUGGAUUCUAGUCACCAGGACCACUCCAUUCCGGGAUACUUAAGGAACUGGUAAGGACCACUAUCAGUGGUCUCUGAAACUUUUAUUGAUUUCUAAAUAUGAUAUAUUAAUCACCAAUUCAUUAAAAUUAAUAAUACAAUGAGACACUUAGGGGAAGGCUUUCUUAAUCCCCAUUAUUACUGAGGGUUCUCCUCUUCUAGACAAUAAACAAAUAAUAAAUAAAAUAAAAUAAUUAAUAUAAAUUACUAAAUUAAACCAAUAACGGGCUCAGUGACUAGUCCCUAUCUUAUAUUUAACUACAAAUAUGUAACGGCAGAUUGGUUGAUUGUCUGUUUAUUCUGUAUCUAUUUCUAAUUUAUUUCUCCCAUUAAAAUGUGCCUUCGCUCUUUGUGUUUACAUCUCCGGUACCCAGAGGACCUGUACCCUAGCUAAGUAACUAGAUUUCAUCUUAAACCAUUUCCUUUCUCCCUCCUCUCCUCUACUUGAACUCGCUGAGACCCGGUUUUCUCGGGAUGACCCCGGCAACCCUUUCCGUAGCCACCGGCCGGUCCUGAUGGAGAAGGGAAUACGGCUCUUUGUCCCCUUCCUGGCUCUCCUUCUAGCCCCAUGGCGGAGGGGCCUUGUCCAAGGUAGCCCCCGAGUUGGUACCAGAACAGGACAAAACGCAGCAGCCUCAUUGGCUAUUCUCCCCACUGCACCGAGCUGCACUGAGACAGAAUACUUUUGGGGAGAAAUGAAAGACUUCACAUUUCCAACCACAGCCACUCGGGGGCAUUUGACGUUUCGCAGCAUAGAAUUCUCGCCUUGGAACACGUCCAGAACUCUGGGCGAACGCUCCGGCUCUCCUGCCAAGGGCCCUGGGAUUUCUGAGAGGUAGAAAGGGUCACGGCCUCUGUUCCAGAUUCCAUCCCAAAGACGACACCUCCGUGGCUUUUUCAGACGCGAUGUGAAAGCGCCCGUUCCCUGGGCACGCGCACGUUGGGGAACGUUCAGCGCGGCGGACACCACUGGCCCAUCUUCUCAUCCUCGCCCCCCACCCCGCCCCCACUGCUUACCAUUUAAAUAGAGUGUCAGAGAUAAAAAUACGGAAGAGAUCCAUCUGACAAGGAGCUCCCCAGACACUCCAUCGCCAAGACAAGGGCCUUGACGCCUCUGUGCCCGCCGAAUCCGGAGAGGGGAGAGGGCCACGGGGAGGAAAGGGUGAGAUCGGACGGUGUUAUGGAUGAUUCAGAAACGUGGGACCAGAACAGAGCAGAACGCGGGAGUGCUGGGUUCUACUCAUGGCCGAGCCACUGAUUAGGCUGCACGGCCCUCGACAAGGGAUCCAGUUCCUCUGGAACUUGGUUGGACGUUUGGGAGAGAUGAGUUUUAAAUUUCCUGUCAAGCACUGACGUUCUAUACUCCCUGUCUCUGAACUGCUGUUCUACCUCUAUGUAUAAAGGUUAAUUUUAUCACAACUGUGCUGUGUUCCAUAACCUAAGGACCCAUUUAGCCCUACUAUUCCAUGUUCUAAAGUCCUUUCCUGCUCUCACAAUCUUUGUUCCACAUGCUAAAGCCCUUCCCAUCUCUGACAUUCCCAGUUCUCUCUCUCUGUCUCUCCUAGCAUUGACAUUCCCCGUUCUAAGGCCUUCCCAGUUUUGACAUUCCCUCCUUGUUCUAAAGCUUUUUCCAUCUGUGGCAUUCCCUGUUCUAAGGCGUUCUCAUCUCUGACAUUCCCAGUUCUAAGGCCCUUCCCACCUCUGACAUCCUGUGUUCCAAGGGCUUCCCAGCUCAGACAUCCUAUGUUCUAUGGCCCUUCUCAGCUCCUACUUUCUCUGUUUAAAGUCCCUUCCGACUCUGACAUUCUCCCAUCUGUGUUCUAAGGACUCUCUCAGCUCUGGCCUUAUUUGGUCAGUGUUCUAAGAUUCCUCUCUUGAUUAUUGACUCCUGCGGAGAGAUCUGAGAGUGACGUUCUCCCAGGGAGGUUCCGGAGUUCCAUUUGUCCCAUCCUCUCACAGAACCCCCCGAUAAACUUCGCUCCUUUGGUUGGGCUACAGCUCCGGGGUCCAGGCCUCCAUCUUCCCCUUCAGGGGUUAAGAGCCUUCUUUUCUGAUGCAAUUGUUGCUUUUUCAAGACCACAGGCCCGAUCAGCCUGGUACAAAAGACUUGAUUUAAUCCCAGUUGCAGACAAUUCACAAUGUACUGGCUCCUGGAUUUGUAGCAAUGUCUGGCUAUCGGGUUUCUAGCUAAUAUCCCCAGCAUAGUCCCAGCAGAGGCCAGGAACAAAGACCUCUUUGUUAUAAAUAUAUUUUUAAAAUCCCUAAAGAUAUUUAACAGAGCAACAGAGUUCAAACUGCUAAGUGAUUCAGUUGUUAUUUAAUGAGCAUGCUUGAAAUGAAGUAUAACUCCCCCGGACUUGGAGAUGACCAUUUAUAAAGAACCUGCCCUUUCAGGCUUUAUAUAAAUAAGGCCGGCUCCUUCUAGGGUUUAACUGGAGUUGCCCUGACUCAAGGCCUGGAGUCUCCUCGGGGAGAUUUGUGGCCGUUUCCCUUGUCCCCUCCCUGCCCUGAACUGUUCCCUCCCUCCCUCCCUCCAAAGGAUACCCUCCAUUUCUGUACUCCCUCCUUCAAUUCCAACCCAUGGCCCAACCUACAGAAACCCUACUAUAAAUCCAUGGGGAAUAUGGUCGCCUGGAGGACGCACCGGAAAGAUGAAGAAUGAGAAUCGGGGCAUGAGUUCUGGUCCCAGAACUCGGUGUACAUGUGCCCUACGACAAGUCCCUUCAUAGAACCCUCAAGCUGGGGCUGGGAGGGAGCUCCGAGGCCUUCCCGUCAGGCCCGGGGAUCCACGUGGAAAGUCGGCAUCAGAGAAGGGAUCUGAGCGCGGGGCAUCCGACCGCAAAGGGCCACCGCAUCCAAAAGGAUCAGAUUGAAUCUGCUCACGGCAUCCAAUAACUUGGGGUACUGAUCAUAGACCAUCUUGGCUCCCCUAAAAAGUGCAUAAGUUUCAUGAAUGCCAGUAUUAACUCAAUGUAAUAACCAGUUAUUAAGUAUCUACUACGUCCAAGGUAAAAUAUUUACUACGAAAGUUUCCCCAGAAUCUAUGCCCCAAGAUUCUUUCACAUGGCAAUAUCCUAUGUCCAGUUCCAUCUGGACUCUGACAUUUUUUUUCUAAGAUCCCUCCUAAGUAUAGCAUUCUAUGUUCUAAAGUUCCUCCCAGUUCUGAGAUUCUCUGUUCUACAUCCUCUUCCAGCUCUAACAUUCCCUGUUCUAAGACCCUUCCCAACUCUAAUAUUCCCAGUUCUAAGACCUUCCUAGCUCUGAUAUCCCCUGUUCUAAGGUCUUUCCUAGUUCUGAUAUUCCCUAUUCUAAGCCCCCUCCCACUCCUGAUAUUCCCUGUCCUAAAACCUUCUCAGUUCUGACAUUCCUUAUUCUAAGUCCCCUUUCAGCUCUGACAUUCCCUAUUCUAAGGCCUUUCCCAUCUCUGACAUUCCCUAUUCUAAGGCCCCUCCAACUGUGACAUCCCCUGUUCUAAGGCCCUUUCCUAGCUUUCUGUGAUUCUAACUUCCCAUCUAGCUUGAAUUUGAUCAUAAUUUUUUAUCAUUUAAGAACUAGAAGAUAUUUUAAAGGUCAUCUCGUCCAAUCCUUUCAGAAACGGAUGCAAAGCGGGGACGUGAGAUGUCCAAGAUCAUAUACGGUAAAUUAGAGUCAGGGAGUCAAGUGAUAGGAAUAGGAAUUCCUGAAAGCUGGAAUCCUGGCAAGAAUGGAGGGGCCAGGUGGGGGAUGGGGAGAAGAAUUCCCCCUCCAGUUUUAUUCAGGAUUUCCUGUCCUAUAGAGUGUCAAGUUCCUGGAGAGGUGAAACUCAGGCGUCGGGCGGAGCUCCCACACAUGUUCUCUGAGCUGGAGGAGCAGCAAGGACCUGAGCCACAAUAUGUCGGGGCAAAAAACCUGGACUUUCCUUUCACGACACCAUGAGUUAUUUGGGAGGCGCUGAUGUGUUUGGAAGAUGGUUGUCGCUCUAGUAAUCUCCAGUUAAUUUUCCUUCCAAAGGAAGACUUAAAAGUGGUGCUAUGAGGUUGAGAUCUUAUUUAGGGUCCUAGGGAGAAAGGAGGACUUACCAGAGAGAGAAGAGAUCUGUACUGAUUCAUUUGGGGCCACCGAGAAUCCAUUCUUUUUUUUUAAAAAAGAAUUGAACUUAUUGGAUAUAUAUAUAUAUAUAUAUAUAUAUUUGCUAAGGCAAUUGGGGUUAAGUGACUUGCCCAGAGUCACACAGCUAGGAAGUAUUAAGUGUCUGAGGUCAAUUUGAACGCAGGUCCUCCUGACUUCAGGGCUGGUGUUCUAUCCACUGCACCACCUAGCUGCCCUUAACCUAUUGGAUAUUUAAGAAGAAAAUCAGACUGUACAAAAUUGAGAUCCACAGUUUUGCACACAGAUAGUUCUCUCUUUUUUUAAAGAAUCCAUUAUUAAUUUUUUUUGUAUUUUCCAUAAGAUGAAAUAAAGGCUCUCCUGUCCUUGCUA
Long non-coding RNA from Antechinus flavipes (yellow-footed antechinus), 6131 nucleotides. RefSeq lists it as uncharacterized. The record is from RefSeq and is a predicted model, not a curated record. The transcript has 2 exons. Lineage: Eukaryota; Metazoa; Chordata; Mammalia; Dasyuromorphia; Dasyuridae.